CGAAGGGGCUAGCGUUGUUCGGAAUCACUGGGCGUAAAGCGCACGUAGGCGGACCAUUAAGUCAGGGGUGAAAGCCUGGAGCUCAACUCCAGAACUGCCUUUGAUACUGAUGGUCUCGAGUUCGGAAGAGGUUGGUGGAACUGCGAGUGUAGAGGUGAAAUUCGUAGAUAUUCGCAAGAACACCAGUGGCGAAGGCGGCCAACUGGUCCGAUACUGACGCUGAGGUGCGAAAGCGUGGGGGAGCAAACAGGAUU
This 254-nucleotide ribosomal RNA is filed under the name uncultured bacterium. RNAcentral describes it as "partial 16S ribosomal RNA". It matches the Rfam family "Bacterial small subunit ribosomal RNA", at positions 527 to 779 of the family's 1533-position model. The record is from RNAcentral.